This 247-nucleotide ribosomal RNA is filed under the name Haptolina ericina. RNAcentral's name for it is "partial Bacterial small subunit ribosomal RNA". It matches the Rfam family "Bacterial small subunit ribosomal RNA", at positions 548 to 794 of the family's 1533-position model. The record is from RNAcentral. Lineage: Eukaryota; Haptophyta; Prymnesiales; Prymnesiaceae.
GAAUUACUGGGCGUAAAGCGCACGUAGGCGGAUCAGAAAGUAUAGGGUGAAAUCCCAGGGCUCAACCCUGGAACUGCCUUGUAAACUCCUGGUCUUGAGUUCGAGAGAGGUGAGUGGAAUUCCAAGUGUAGAGGUGAAAUUCGUAGAUAUUUGGAGGAACACCAGUGGCGAAGGCGGCUCACUGGCUCGAUACUGACGCUGAGGUGCGAAAGUGUGGGGAGCAAACAGGAUUAGAUACCCUGGUAGU